GGCCCAUAAGGUAUCGUCCCCUGGUGUCAGCUGCCUUUAGGAAACCAUAAUGCUUUCCUAUUUGCUACUGACACAGGAUGAGUCAUGGACAUGUUUAAUUUCUACUUUCUUUUUGGCUAAUUAUUAUAUAUUUAAUUGAUCCAACUUUUUGUGUACUAUACAUAUGUGGAUAUCUAUUUUUCUUUUUUUUCUUUUUGGGCUGCUUGUUUGUUAUCUAUAUCAACCACACUUGUAAUAAAAUGCAUUAGUAUUAAAAAAAAACCAACAUACUAUAGAUUCUUUAUCUACGUAUUCUUUAAGAACUUAAAUAGUUCUCGUUUAACUUUUUUUUUUUUUUUUUAUCUCAUUGUUUGUAUUGUAUUAUGAAAAAAUUAUUGAUGUUGUAAUGUUUAUGCCCUUUGGGGCCCAUAAUUGGAAAUAAAAAUAUCUUAUCUUAUCUUAUCUUAUCUUAU
This 452-nucleotide long non-coding RNA is filed under the name Mytilus galloprovincialis (Mediterranean mussel). Lineage: Eukaryota; Metazoa; Mollusca; Bivalvia; Mytilida; Mytilidae. The record is from RNAcentral.